AACAAUUGAUUAUAACCCAAUAGCAAUCUAUCGUUAGACUAGAAGCAUAAAUAGAAUAGUUAGCUGAGUCUACCAUGAGGACAGAACCAGAUCAAUUGCAAAACCAACUGAUACCAAAUCUCAGGAACAACCCACCCACCCACCAACCACCUGAAUCUAGUCAUCAAUCUAAUGUCCCACCUAAGAAUCCUCAAUUUAAAAAUGAUAAAAUAAUCUCCGAGCUUAAAAGUGAUAGGAUUCUUAAGGACCCAUACCA
RNAcentral lists this long non-coding RNA (256 nucleotides) under Elaeis guineensis (African oil palm). Its description in RNAcentral is "long non-coding RNA (EGUI_LNC033561)". Lineage: Eukaryota; Viridiplantae; Streptophyta; Magnoliopsida; Arecales; Arecaceae. The record is from RNAcentral.